MicroRNA precursor from Oryza rufipogon (brownbeard rice), 204 nucleotides. It matches the Rfam family "MIR812 microRNA precursor family". Lineage: Eukaryota; Viridiplantae; Streptophyta; Magnoliopsida; Poales; Poaceae. The record is from Rfam.
AAUAAACGCAGUCAUGAGUUUCCAUGUCCAAUUUUGAUCGUCUGUCUUAUUUAAAUUUUUUUGUGAUUAUUAUUUUUAUUGUUAUUAGAUUAUAAAACAUAAAUAGUAUUAUAUGCGUGACUUAUGUUUUUUAGUUUUUUCAAAAAAUAAUCAAAUAAGACGAAUGAUUAAAGUUGGAUACGAAAACUUAUGGCUGCGCUUAUA